GCGCACGGGUGAGUAAUACACAGCCAAUCUGCCCCAAAGAAGAGAAUAACCGCCGGAAACGACUUGUAAUGCUCUAUAUGCCUUUAUUACAUAAGUAAGCAAGGGAAAUAUUUAUAGCUUUGGGAUGAGACUGUACGGUAUCAGUUUGUUGGUGAGGUAAUGGCUCACCAAGACUAUGACGCCUAACUGGUUUGAGAGGAUGAUCAGUCACACUGGAACUGAGACACGGUCCAGACUCCUACGGGAGGCAGCAGUGGGGAAUAUUGCACAAUGGACGAAAGUCUGAUGCAGCAACGCCGCGUGGAGGAUGACACAUUUCGGUGCGUAAACUCCUUUUAUAUGAGAAGAUAAUGACGGUAUCAUAUGAAUAAGCACCGGCUAACUUCGUGCCAGCAGCCGCGGUAAUACGAGGGGUGCAAGCGUUACUCGGAAUCACUGGGCGUAAAGAGCAUGUAGGCGGGUAGUUAAGUUGGAAGUGAAAU
RNAcentral lists this ribosomal RNA (482 nucleotides) under uncultured bacterium. RNAcentral describes it as "bacterial SSU rRNA". It matches the Rfam family "Bacterial small subunit ribosomal RNA", at positions 98 to 600 of the family's 1533-position model. The record is from RNAcentral.